UUCCGGUGAUCCUGCCGGACCCGACUGCUAUCAGAGUGGGACUAAGCCAUGCGAGUCGACGUAGCAAUGCGUGGCGAACGGCUCAGUAACACGUAGUCAACAUGCCCAGGGGACGUGGAUAACCUCGGGAAACUGAGAAUAAACCACGAUAGGUCACGAUUUCUGGAAUGGAUCAUGGCCUAAAUCUACAUGGCCCCUGGAUUGGACUGCGGCCGAUCAGGCUGUUGGUGAGGUAAUGGCCCACCAAACCUGUAACCGGUACGGGCUCUGAGAGGAGAAGCCCGGAGAUGGGCACUGAGACAAGGGCCCAGGCCCUAUGGGGCGCAGCAGGCGCGAAACCUCUGCAAUAGGCGAAAGCCUGACAGGGUUACUCUGAGUGAUUUCCGCUAAGGGGAUCUUUUGGCACCUCUAAAAAUGGUGCAGAAUAAGGGGUGGGCAAGUCUGGUGUCAGCCGCCGCGGUAAUACCAGCACCCCGAGUGGUCGGGACGAUUAUUGGGCCUAAAGCAUCCGUAGCCGGUUCUGCAAGUCUUCCGUUAAAUCCAGCCGCUCAACGGAUGGGCCGCGGAGGAUACUACAGGACUAGGAGGCGGGAGAGGCAAGCGGUACUCAGUGGGUAGGGGUAAAAUCCUUUGAUCCAUUGAAGACCACCAGUGGCGAAGGCGGCUUGCCAGAACGCGCUCGACGGUGAGGGAUGAAAGCUGGGGGAGCAAACCGGAUUAGAUACCCGGGUAGUCCCAGCUGUAAACGAUGCAGACUCGGUGAUGGGCUAGCCUUGUGCCAGCCCAGUGCCGCAGGGAAGCCGUUAAGUCUGCCGCCUGGGGAGUACGGUCGCAAGACUGAAACUUAAAGGAAUGGCGGGGGAGCA
RNAcentral lists this ribosomal RNA (866 nucleotides) under uncultured archaeon. Its description in RNAcentral is "bacterial SSU rRNA". It matches the Rfam family "Archaeal small subunit ribosomal RNA", at positions 1 to 878 of the family's 1478-position model. The record is from RNAcentral.